CCAGACCAUUGAAAAGGAAAAUGGAAGAAAACAUACCUUGUCCAGUCGAAGACAAACAAAAAAGUACAACUGCAAGUGGCGAGAUGUAAUCAUCCUAUUGUGAGAGGACAUCUCAAUUUUCGAUGCAUUUAGAAUGAACCCUCAAUCCUCAGUUGCAUCUUACACCACAACACUGUUGAUAUUUCAACACAAUACAAUUAUCAAUUGUAGACCAUACACUGUCUUUGGUGUUGCACUAAAUUUCUGAUACCCCUUGAUGACUUUCUUCACAGCAUCUAGAAAAUCUUUCUCCGUGACAGUCUUUUCUUCUAGUCCAAACUCAACUUUACGAUCUAGCCGUCCAGGAUGCAACAGAGCUGGAUCCAGCAUGUCGGGUACGAAUAAUAUAAAUAGCCAGUAUUUAAGUGACCUCCAAAAAAAUUAAUUAUCAAGAUCAGAUAUUUUUACUCCACGAAGAACAUGACCAGACAUCUUACAAAAACCAAUUAUAAGUUAAAAUGACGAUGAAAAUAGAUCCCGAUCUCAAAAGGAGAAAUUCCAAGCAUGGUACACUGAACCUCAUUGUCUCCACCCACACUAUCAUCAAACCGAGCACCUCCAAUGGCAUCGACUUCAUCAAAGAACACAAUACAAGCUUUUUUGGAACGUGCCAUCCGCCACCGGAUAAAAAAAUCACUCUCUUAAGUAACAGACACUCGUACAAGUACUUGAAUUAUAGCGACGCGAGGAAGAUUAGCCUGAAACAGUUCACGAACCAUCCGAGUUACUUGGUAAAGAUAGCAUUGGGGCACCAUUUCAGGCAGAUUUUUUCAAUUGUGGGCCUUAU
Molecule: long non-coding RNA, 826 nt
Filed under: Olea europaea subsp. europaea
Lineage: Eukaryota; Viridiplantae; Streptophyta; Magnoliopsida; Lamiales; Oleaceae
Source: RNAcentral